AAUACAGAGGGGGCGAGCGUUGUUCGGAAUUACUGGGCGUAAAGGGCGCGUAGGUGGCCUGUUAAGUCGAACGUGAAAUCCCCGGGCUCAACCCGGGAACUGCGUCCGAGACUGGCAGGCUCGAAUCCGGGAGAGGGAUGUGGAAUUCCAGGUGUAGCGGUGAAAUGCGUAGAUAUCUGGAGGAACACCGGUGGCGAAGGCGGCAUCCUGGACCGGUAUUGACGCUGAGGCGCGAAAGCCAGGGGAGCAAACGG
This 254-nucleotide ribosomal RNA is filed under the name uncultured prokaryote. RNAcentral describes it as "partial 16S ribosomal RNA". It matches the Rfam family "Bacterial small subunit ribosomal RNA", at positions 522 to 775 of the family's 1533-position model. The record is from RNAcentral.